RNAcentral lists this transfer RNA (72 nucleotides) under Entomoneis sp. RNAcentral's name for it is "tRNA-Glu". It matches the Rfam family "tRNA". From Rfam's summary of the family: Transfer RNA (tRNA) molecules are approximately 80 nucleotides in length. Their secondary structure includes four short double-helical elements and three loops (D, anti-codon, and T loops). The record is from RNAcentral. Lineage: Eukaryota; Bacillariophyta; Bacillariophyceae; Surirellales; Surirellaceae.
GUUCUUAUCGUCUAAGGGUUAGGACAUUGCUCUUUCACAACAAAAAUACGAGUUCAAAUCUCGUUAGGAAUA